This 252-nucleotide ribosomal RNA is filed under the name uncultured bacterium. RNAcentral's name for it is "partial 16S ribosomal RNA". It matches the Rfam family "Bacterial small subunit ribosomal RNA", at positions 524 to 776 of the family's 1533-position model. The record is from RNAcentral.
UACAGAGGUCUCGAGCGUAAUCGGAUUCAUUGGGCUUAAAGCGUACGUAGGCGGAUGUGCAGGCAUCGUGUGAAAUCCCUGGCUCAACCAGGGAACUGCUCGGUGAACCGCACGUCUUGAGGCAAGUAGAGGCUGUCGGAACGAUAGGUGGAGCGGUGAAAUGCGUAGAUAUCUAUCGGAACGCCGAAGGUGAAAACAGGCAGCUGGGCUUGAUCUGACGCUGGAGGUACGAAAGCGUGGGGAGCGAACGGG